RNAcentral lists this ribosomal RNA (253 nucleotides) under uncultured bacterium. RNAcentral describes it as "partial 16S ribosomal RNA". It matches the Rfam family "Bacterial small subunit ribosomal RNA", at positions 524 to 776 of the family's 1533-position model. The record is from RNAcentral.
UACGAGAGGUCCAAGCGUUAGUCGGAAUCACUGGGCUUAAAGGGUGCGUAGGCGGGCUUGUAAGUGUCUUGUGAAAUCCCCGGGCUCAACCUGGGAAUUGCAGGGCAUACUGCGAGUCUAGAGGAAUCUAGAGGCCGGCAGAACGAUAGGUGGAGCGGUGGAAUGCGUAGAUAUCUAUCGGAAUGCCAAAGGUGAAGACAGCCGGCUGGGGAUUUCCUGACGCUGAGGCACGAAAGCGUGGGGAUCAAACAGG